RNAcentral lists this small RNA (2285 nucleotides) under Pyricularia oryzae. Its description in RNAcentral is "Magnaporthe oryzae sRNA M_BR32_EuGene_00142931". Lineage: Eukaryota; Fungi; Ascomycota; Sordariomycetes; Magnaporthales; Pyriculariaceae. The record is from RNAcentral.
AAUUAAUAUUACAAAUCUUUAAACCAAACAUUAAAAUAACGCGCACCUGGUAUCUUCGAAUUGGCCAUUGAGGAUAAUAAACGUUGGGACGGUUAAUAUAAAACGCAAAAAAUGUAAAAAUUAUGGGCAAUACCCGCAUAAUUUGUAAGGAUUACGUACAAAUAUACGCAAAAAGAGUGAUUUUACGGCGAACCCCAGAAAAUCGCCUUUAUCGACCAUGUUGGGAAAUAUUAUGGGAUUAUAUAAAUUACCCCGAAAAACAUAACGGAACAAAACACCCAUUGGUAAUUGAAAAUAUUUUUUGCGGUUUAAUUUAUAUUAUCCCUAUAUAAUCCCGUUUAGGGCCUAAAUUUUUUAAUAUUAUUAGAAAUUUCGAAAAAUAGGCUCGGAAACAAUACGGCUGCAUUAUUUGCAAAAUACGGAACGAUAUAAAUCCGGUAAUAAUAUUAAAUAAAUUCCAAAAUUUGAAAAAAUACGAAAUUUGGGUAAAAAAGGAGAAAAUUAAACUAAUAUUUAACCUUGCGAAUAUAUACGAAUUUAACGGGAAAAUUAAAUAAACAAACCAGAAAAUAUAAACCAAAUUUCUGGCAAUGUUAUUCGGUGCGCAUUUUCCCACUAAUUUGUGGCCGGAAACGGCGAAAACGGCCGUUUGGUUAAAUAAUAAAUUAUUUCGCGCAAAAUUAAAAUUUAAAUUACCGAUUCAAAUUUUAAAUAAAUGGAUAGUUACGCAUUUGCAAACCAUUUAUAAUUAUUUACCCGCAAACGAAUAAAUACCAAAAAAAAUAAUAUAAAUAAAUAUAAAUUUUUAUAAUACGGCGUGGUUGCGUAUAAAUGCAAAAUUUAUAUAAUAUACGAGGGACAAUUAUAAAAUAUAAACCGCAAAUAUUAUAAAAUUAACGCAAAAGCGUAUAUCGGUUAUUUUAUAGGAUACGUUUCAAAUACCAUUUACCGGAUUUGGGUUCCGUUUUUGCGUCGCGUAGUUAUAAUUCGCGACGUAACGUUUAACGAAUUACUAUUUUUUAAUUUUAUAAAUAAACAAAACACCGUUUUUUCCCGAAAUAAUCCAAUUUACCGUCGAUAAAUUGGAUAAAAAAACUAAAUAUGCCCAAAACGUUGGAAAUUUCGUUAAAUUACCCGUUGAAAAGGAAAAACACACAAUUAUCCCUAUAAUUGCGGAUCGAAUACCAGAAAAAGGCCGAAAAUAGGAUAUUGGUUUUAAAACCCCAAAAAUUACAUUUAAACUUUUCAAAGGCCCGGAAAAAGAAAUUUUAACAAAAAAUAUUUCCGGAAAUUAAUACCGUAAUAUGGAUUAUUAUAGCGUUAACAAGGUGGAAAAACCAUUUUCACCACUAUAAUAAAAUUAUCCACCAAAAAUUUAAAUAAAUAUAAAAGUCCCAUUACAAAUCGCAAUAAAACGCCGCGGUAAAUUAACAAAAUUUGCAAACAAAUAAUAAAAUCCGCCAACAAGGAAAAACAAUCGAAAUAACGACGAAAUAAAAGGGAUAUUUGCAAUUUUUAUACAUAUAAACAAAACAAUUAUUAAAUAAAAUUGGCGAAAUUUUAAAAAAAUUAUAUAUUAUAACCCAAAAUAUAAAAAUAUGCAAAUUAUAAUAUAUAAUAUUUUCGCAAUUGCUACCAAUUCUUUUAAAAAAUAACCAAUUAAUUCCAAAAAGGAAAAGAACAGGUUUUAAUAUAUAUAACGCGGAAGGUUUCAGGCAUUCGAACAAUUUUCCACCGCCAUCCAAAAAUUAUAAAACCAUAUUUAAAUAUCCAUUAAAAAACGAUUUUUUAUACGCAAUAGGCGAUAAAAUGGCCAACCUCCACGCCAAAAAGGUUUACAAAAAGGUUCGAUCCACAAAAUACCCGAAAGGAAUUAGGUUUAUAUUAUUUAAAUGGGUUUUUUUAUAUAAAUUUAACCAGGACGGUUACGUAAUUAAAUGCAAAAUACGAAUUUGCGUUAAAAGCGAUUUGCAAAAAAUUAUAAUCGGAAAUAUAUAUGCAACAAUUUUCGCCGCUAAAUUAUUCCGCACGGUAUUAACUAUAAUUGCGGAACGAAAUAUGGAAAUAAAAUAAACAAAUAUAAAAAAGCCUAUUUUAACGUUAAAUUCGCCCAAAACCAGGAACUAAUAUAUUAUUUAUUACCCCCAAAAUAUAAAAAGGCAAAUAUAUUUAUAUAAUAUAAAAAAGUCGGCUUUUUUAUAAUAUUAGCGGUUUUCCAAUUUUUUCCACAAUUUUGGCCUAAAACCAAACGUAAAAAAACUAUACCUGUUUUAUUCCAAAAAUUA